This 449-nucleotide ribosomal RNA is filed under the name uncultured bacterium. Its description in RNAcentral is "partial 16S ribosomal RNA". It matches the Rfam family "Bacterial small subunit ribosomal RNA", at positions 29 to 523 of the family's 1533-position model. The record is from RNAcentral.
AGCGAACGCUGGCGGCAGGCCUAACACAUGCAAGUCGAACGGACCCUUCGGGGUUAGUGGCGGACGGGUGAGUAACACGUGGGAACGUGCCUUUAGGUUCGGAAUAGCUCCUGGAAACGGGUGGUAAUGCCGAAUGUGCCCUUCGGGGGAAAGAUUUAUCGCCUUUAGAGCGGCCCGCGUCUGAUUAGCUGGUUGGUGAGGGAACGGCUCACCAAGGCGACGAUCAGUAGCUGGUCUGAGAGGAUGACCAGCCACACUGGGACUGAGACACGGCCCAGACUCCUACGGGAGGCAGCAGUGGGGAAUCUUGCGCAAUGGGCGAAAGCCUGACGCAGCCAUGCCGCGUGAAUGAUGAAGGUCUUAGGAUUGUAAAAUUCUUUCACCGGGGACGAUAAUGACGGUACCCGGAGAAGAAGCCCCGGCUAACUUCGUGCCAGCCGCCGCCGUAA